GGCCACAGCCAUAUCACCCUACAGCCCAAGACCAGUUACUCACUGAAGAUAAUCAGGGCUGUGUCUGGUAGUACCUGGAUGGGAGACCACAUGGGAAAACUUGGUUGCUGUUGGAA
Danio rerio (zebrafish) is the source of this 116-nucleotide ribosomal RNA. Lineage: Eukaryota; Metazoa; Chordata; Actinopteri; Cypriniformes; Danionidae. The record is from Ensembl.